Molecule: ribosomal RNA, 761 nt
Filed under: uncultured bacterium
Lineage: Bacteria
Description: bacterial SSU rRNA
Rfam family: Bacterial small subunit ribosomal RNA
Source: RNAcentral
CCCUUAGAGUUUGAUCAUGGCUCAGGAUGAACGCUAGCGGCAGGCCUAACACAUGCAAGUCGAACGGUAACAGGAAAGAGCUUGCUCUUUUGCUGACGAGUGGCGCACGGGUGCGUAACGCGUAUACAAUCUACCUUUACAGGGGGAUAGUCUUUAGAAAUGAAGAAUAAUAUCCCAUAGUAAGUGACUAUGGCAUCAUAGACACUUUAAAGUUUCGGCGGUAAAAGAUGAGUAUGCGUCCUAUUAGCUAGAUGGUGUGGUAACGGCACACCAUGGCGACGAUAGGUAGGGGCCCUGAGAGGGGGAUCCCCCACACUGGUACUGAGACACGGACCAGACUCCUACGGGAGGCAGCAGUGAGGAAUAUUGGACAACGGGCGAGAGCCUGAUCCAGCCAUGCCGCGUGCAGGAAGACUGCCCUAUGGGUUGUAAACUGCUUUUAUACAGGAAGAAACCUUUUCACGUGUGAGAAGCUGACGGUACUGUAAGAAUAAGGAUCGGCUAACUCCGUGCCAGCAGCCGCGGUAAUACGGAGGAUCCAAGCGUUAUCCGGAAUCAUUGGGUUUAAAGGGUCCGUAGGUGGAUAAUUAAGUCAGAGGUGAAAGUCUGCAGCUCAACUGUAGAAUUGCCUUUGAUACUGGUUAUCUUGAAUUAUUGUGAAGUGGUUAGAAUAUGUAGUGUAGCGGUGAAAUGCAUAGAUAUUACAUAGAAUACCAAUUGCGAAGGCAGAUCACUAACAAUAUAUUGACACUGAUGGACGA